CAGUGAGGAUCAUUUCAGUUCUGAUUUAUAGACUAAAUCCAGUGUUUCAGAUGACCAGCUUGGUGAAACAACUCAAGAAGGAGGUCAUAUACACCUUGGAUGACUCGAGGGUGAGUAAAACACAGUCCAAUUAAAAUUUUUGAGAGAACUAACCCUUUAACUUGCACUGUUUCACUGUUUGUAUCACUCAGCUUGCAGUAAUUCUCACAGCAAGUGUCAUGGCGGAUACCUAAAUCCACUAAAAUUUCUAAAAUAAUACUGAUUUUUUAGGCGAGAAUUAAAAAAAAAAAAGAACUGCAAUAAAAAUGCAUACAAACUAUUUACUAACGCAGUUCUCAACUGGUUUGGCCAUGGGACCCAUCAAGUCGCAAGACACUGAGUUAGUCGCGGAGUGUACAGUCAAAGAAACAACAUCAGCACAAAAAAAGAUUGUACAAUUCCAAAUUGAAUUCUAUAUGUGGUGCAUAAACCCAGAUGUCACAAACACAUUCAGGUGGAAUCAAAGGACAGAGGUGACUUUCUCUAUUUCCCCACAGUUUCUUUAAUCUCCUCCUCCCUGCCCUUCUGCUCAAGCGAGUUGUGUUGGUUGCGAACGGAGGAAGAGUGGGCUGUCAGCAGUGGUUUGGGCCGUCUGAUGAAGCAGGUCUGUAAUGAGCUGAUGAAGGCUACAUAUACAGCUCGGCACCACUCCGCAAAUUCUAAAGGUGAUGAGGGCUGGCAUCCUCACCCGUGAUGAGAACUCCCUGCUGCUUUGCACUUUGAUGUGUUUGUAUGUGCGGUGAAGAGAAGGAGCGCAUUUGUGAAUUUGUUUGUUUUGUUUAGUCUAGAGGGUUUACACUAAUAGAAUGAAUGUUGUUUUAAGCUACUCACACUGUUGCUAGCACCUGGUGCACACUAGAACAAUGCAUUGGGCAAUAGUCACAUCACUCCAGCUUUAUCCUGUGAUGAGGCAUGCUUUUUGAACAAAGGAAAACAACUACAGACAAAUGUAAAGAACUUUGCUUUGCAAAUAUUCUUUGCUGCAGUAUUUUAAGGCAGCUAACUUUCUGCAAUAAAAAUAAUAAACAUUUAAUGACACUAUUUUAUUUUUUUUUAUUCGUUGAUGCGUGCUUACAUGAACUGUCUAUGGGCAAUACCUUUUAACAGCAUUUGUUGAUCUUUGUUGAUGUACGUUAAGAAAAAAUAAAAUUGUUCAUCAUUUGUUUGUAAUUUAAUUAAUGUUAACUAAAGUUAACAAAUGAAAUCUUAUCGUAAUGUAAUACCCAUUUUUAUAACGCUGCCUUUUUACAACCAAGUUUACAGGUAACCAGGUAUUUUUUCUGUGUAAUAAUAAUAAUAAUAAUUAUUAUUAUUAUAAAUAAAUUAUGCAUAAUAAAAAAAUAAACCAAUAAAACAGAAUCUUAAGAAAAUAUAUAUGCAGAUACUGGAAAACAAACAAACAAAUACAUACAUAAAUGUUUUCAUAAUAACUGUUGCCAAGAUGGCUGUAAUAGGUAAUGUUACAAUAGGUAAUAGGUAAAAGUACAUUCAAAUGUAAAGUACAUUCAAAACAUCAGGCAUAGAUUUAAAACAAGACAAUUUGUUUCUUUUCUAAUUUUCACUUAUGUGAAUUUGUAAAAAGAAGAAGAAGAAAGAAACAGAAGCAGAUUCAAAAGUGCUCUCAGAAUCUCAAAAGUGGACUUUGAGAUUACAUUGCCAUUGAAUCUGGACUUGAACUUACAUUUAGAGUGCUGUCCUUAUAAUAAAGUAUAUGAAGUGCCUCGAGAACUCUAACAGAAACUUCCCAUUGAAAACUUUCCCACUGUAAUCCAACACCUGUCUCAAACAGGUGUCUGAUCCAUGGCCCCCAGACAGAUCUCACAGCAGCCGUUUCCUCUAAAUGUUCUCAUUACUUACAUCCACUAGAUAUUUCAGACACUUCCAGUUGUAAAAUUCUCCAUUACACGGGUCAAGCAGGGGCAAUGAGAGAUGAAUAACUGUCUGAUCAUCUCAAAAGGCUCCACUAGAAUAUUUCCCUCCUGCUAAAAUAUCUGUCAUCACUUUGAUUGUGUUUUAGAGGAGACGUAUUCACAGGGACGAGUUUGGCUUCUUCAUUUUCAAUUUUUUUAAGAGCCCUGUUUUUAUUUUUUUCACUGUAUGAGGGGGAUGAGACUUCUGCCUCUGCACAUUCAUUCAGCAGUCCAUUGCAAAAAUGAGAAGAGAGCGCAAAUGAAAACCUGAAAGAAGAAAAAUGAAGGGGGAAGAAAACACUCAGGUCAGUAUCUCAUCUCGCAAAGAUUAAAAACUCAUCUCUCAGACCGGUGCGGCGUUAUAUAGGCUGAUUUGCGAAGCUCUCCAUGCAAAUUGCGAGGUGAUUAGUUGUCGUGUUUGGAUGGUGGAACAGCGGAGGGUUAGGACACUUCGUCCCCCCUGUCCAAUUACAGCUGCCUGUAGCACAGGAUGACGCCCUGUCUGCACGCCCAUGUCAUUAAGAGGAAAGUGGAAAGCCCUUCCUCGCAUACAGGCUCUAAUGCGAGUGGAGGAAUUACACGACUGUUGUCUCUGUGCGCAUGCCAUCCUCUUUCACUCAAGAUUUAAUGAAGAGUAAAGCAGGAUACACAUCCACUCACUAGCCACUGGAUACACAUUCAUUAUAAUUCCUCAACAAAAGCUUAAGGGAUAUACUGUACUUACUUACAACAAUAAGCUUAGUGUACAUAUAUAAUGACAGUAAUUUAGCAAACUUUAUAGUUCACCACAAAACUAACUCACUGUGGCUUUUUAAACUUAUAUGAAUUUUUUACUUAUAUGAAGCACAAAAGGAGAUGUUUAGCAGCGUUUUUUGUGGAUUUUUUGUGAAUUAUAACAUAAAACGUUUUUAUAUGGCUUCAGAAAAUUGUAAUAUAGAAUAUGGACUUCUUUUACCAUGUAUUCAUGGUGACCAUCCACUUUUUCUGAACGAUAAAGAAAAGUGUGAAUAUUUACAAAACUUAGUCGUUUUAAUUAAGAUCAAAC
Molecule: long non-coding RNA, 2994 nt
Organism: Cyprinus carpio carpio
Lineage: Eukaryota; Metazoa; Chordata; Actinopteri; Cypriniformes; Cyprinidae
Source: Ensembl